AGGAACAAGAGGAGAGGCUCGUGCCAGUCAGGGGCUGUGUCCCCUAGAUGCAUAUGUUGACAUCCUGACCCCCUCAGGAUGCGACUGUAUUUGGAGACUGGGCCUUUAAAGAGGUGGUCAAGGUAAAACGAGGCCCUUAGGGUGGGCCCUGAUCCAGUGUGACUGGUGCCCUCAUGAGAGAGGAGAUGAGGACACACACACGCACAGAGGUAAUACCAUGUGAGGACACAGGGGGAAGAUGACAGUGUCCAUACCCCAAGGAGAGAGGCAUCAGGAGGAACCAGCCCUGCUAACACCUUAAUCUCCAACUUCCAGCCUCCAGGACGGAGGAAGAACAUGUUUCUGUUGUUUAAGCCCCUGGUCUGUGGUAUUUGACUGACUGACACUGGAACCUGGGAGAAGGCCACACCCAGAGACCCUCCCAGGCUACCAGGGGCCUCGAUAGAAGCAGAGAAAUGAGGCCAUGGCCUGUGCAAGCCAAGAGAGCUGGGGAUACCUUCCUCGGUCCCCACCCCACUCCCAGGUGCUUUGCCAAUUUAAAACGGGACAAAUGGGAAGGAAGAAAGCCUUCGUGAGCAGAGAGGGAGAGCUGGAAGACGCAGAAGGCCACCAGGAGCCUGGGAACCACGGGCCCUGGGGGCUGGGUCCCCUCGCCUGCGGUCUCCACCACCGUGAACUUCAGCUAACGCACGUGAGAACAGCGCCAGCACCCGCUCCACUUCAUCUCUCUGGCCCGAUGCUGGCCCUCCUGAAGGCCUGUGUGGAAGGAGCGGUUAACCCCACGGGGCCCACCCGUGCCGUCAGCUCCGUGCCCUGCUCUCCACAGGUGCCUGCACCUCACUCCUGGGGGGAGUCGGCUCCAUGGAGCCAGAAGCAGCAAGGUGGAUAAAUUAUUUCUCCAGAUAAUAAAAGCAUCAGCAUUAACACAAACCUACCCACACACCCUCCCUUUGUCUCUAAGGCGCCUCCUCCUGUGGCCCACACUCAGCACCCCUGUGACCUCGGCCCUGACCUCGGGCUUGUCCUCAGAGGCCGCACGCCAGUGCUCAUGGUGCCCGGGCGGUCCACACUAGC
RNAcentral lists this long non-coding RNA (1074 nucleotides) under Equus asinus (donkey). RNAcentral's name for it is "lncRNA (ENSEASG00005028055.1)". The record is from RNAcentral. Lineage: Eukaryota; Metazoa; Chordata; Mammalia; Perissodactyla; Equidae.